This 301-nucleotide ribosomal RNA is filed under the name uncultured bacterium. RNAcentral's name for it is "partial 16S ribosomal RNA". It matches the Rfam family "Bacterial small subunit ribosomal RNA", at positions 509 to 807 of the family's 1533-position model. The record is from RNAcentral.
CAGUCGCCGCGGGAAUACAGAGGGUGCGAGCGUUAAUUGGAUUUACUGGGCGUAAAGCGUGCGUAGGCGGCUUCUUAAGUCGGAUGUGAAAUCCCUGAGCUUAACUUAGGAAUUGCAUUCGAUACUGGGAAGCUAGAGUAUGGGAGAGGAUGGUAGAAUUCCAGGUGUAGCGGUGAAAUGCGUAGAGAUCUGGAGGAAUACCGAUGGCGAAGGCAGCCAUCUGGCCUAAUACUGACGCUGAGGUACGAAAGCAUGGGGAGCAAACAGGAUUAGAUACCCCUGUAGUCCCUGUCUCUUAUAC